RNAcentral lists this long non-coding RNA (659 nucleotides) under Nicotiana tabacum (common tobacco). RNAcentral describes it as "long non-coding RNA (NTAB_LNC017641)". The record is from RNAcentral. Lineage: Eukaryota; Viridiplantae; Streptophyta; Magnoliopsida; Solanales; Solanaceae.
CAUGAUAUGACUAUAUAUGAUGUUUGUACAUGAAGUAUAAAGUUUGAGAAAAAUCGGAUUUAAGUUGCGGAAAAACCGACUAAAGAUUUGCCUUGUAAUGGAGCUUAUUGAGUAAUAAAUUUCGUGUUCUAUAUGAGGUCUUUUUGGGACAUAUUAUAUACCAAAUUGAAGGUCUUGAAAUGUAUUUUCCAACGCUCUUAACCAUUUUUUCAUACGACAUCCGGAUAAAAAGAUAUAAGUAUUUGAAAAAGGGCCAAUGAGAUGGUGCCAAGUAGCACCUUUUGACUUUUCAACCAAAAUGGAUAUUUAUCUUCCUAUGUCGUCUCUUUCUUCAUAAUUCCAGAGAGCUCGACCAAAUAAUACCCCUAACCUCACCCUUAAGCUUUCCACAAGGUUAUCCAACAAGAUUAUCGUCCGAGGCACGAAAUCACGAAGCAAUAACACUAGAACGAUCCCCACGACGUAAGUAUCACUAUAUAACCUUUCUUUUUCUUUGUAGUUUCAGUUUUGGAAGGUAUUUUGAGGUUAAUAAAAAUGCCUAAUUUCUGGUUUCAGGCUCUUAAACAUCAAGGAAGAUUGAUGAAUUUAUUUCAUAAUAGUUAGAAAUCACGGGACGGUGAUCGGAAGCCGUGAGUUCGAGUUAUUUGAUUUGUAAUGGA